UGGGGAAUAUUGGACAAUGGGCGCAAGCCUGAUCCAGCCAUACCGCGUGGGUGAAGAAGGCCUUCGGGUUGUAAAGCCCUUUUGUUGGGAAAGAAAUCCAGCUGGUUAAUACCCGGUUGGGAUGACGGUACCCAAAGAAUAAGCACCGGCUAACUUCGUGCCAGCAGCCGCGGUAAUACGAAGGGUGCAAGUGUUACUCGGAAUUACUGGGCGUAAAGCGUGCGUAGGUGGUCGUUUAAGUCCGUUGUGAAAGCCCUGGGCUCAACCUGGGAACUGCAGUGGAUACUGGGCGACUAGAGUGUGGUAGAGGGUAGCGGAAUUCCUGGUGUAGCAGUGAAAUGCGUAGAGAUCAGGAGGAACAUCCAUGGCGAAGGCAGCUACCUGGACCAACACUGACACUGAGGCACGAAAGCGUGGGGAGCAAACAGGAUUAGAUACCCUGGUAGUCCACGCCCUAAACGAUGCGAACUGGAUGUUGGGUGCAAUUUGGCACGCAGUAUCGAAGCUAACGCGUUAAGUUCGCCGCCUGGGGAGUACGGUCGCAAGACU
RNAcentral lists this ribosomal RNA (549 nucleotides) under uncultured bacterium. Its description in RNAcentral is "bacterial SSU rRNA". It matches the Rfam family "Bacterial small subunit ribosomal RNA", at positions 355 to 895 of the family's 1533-position model. The record is from RNAcentral.